RNAcentral lists this ribosomal RNA (447 nucleotides) under uncultured bacterium. RNAcentral's name for it is "bacterial SSU rRNA". It matches the Rfam family "Bacterial small subunit ribosomal RNA", at positions 331 to 792 of the family's 1533-position model. The record is from RNAcentral.
CCAGACUCCUACGGGAGGCAGCAGUGGGGAAUAUUGGACAAUGGGGGGAACCCUGAUCCAGCGACGCCGCGUGAGUGAAGAAGUAUUUCGGUAUGUAAAGCUCUAUCAGCAGGGAAGAAAGAAAUGACGGUACCCGACUAAGAAGCCCCGGCUAACUACGUGCCAGCAGCCGCGGUAAUACGUAGGGGGCAAGCGUUAUCCGGAUUUACUGGGUGUAAAGGGAGCGUAGACGGCAGUGCAAGUCCGGAGUGAAAGCCCGGGGCUCAACCCUGGGACUGCUCUGGAAACUGUAAAGCUGGAGUGCGGGAGGGGCAGGCGGAAUUCCUGGUGUAGCGGUGAAAUGCGUAGAUAUCAGGAGGAACACCGGCGGCGAAGGCGGCCUGCUGGACCGUAACUGACGUUGAGGCUCGAAAGCGUGGGGAGCAAACAGGAUUAGAUACCCGUGUA